RNAcentral lists this transfer RNA (69 nucleotides) under Chitinophaga flava. It matches the Rfam family "tRNA". Rfam says of the family: Transfer RNA (tRNA) molecules are approximately 80 nucleotides in length. Their secondary structure includes four short double-helical elements and three loops (D, anti-codon, and T loops). Further hydrogen bonds mediate the characteristic L-shaped molecular structure. tRNAs have two regions of fundamental functional importance: the anti-codon, which is responsible for specific mRNA codon recognition, and the 3' end, to which the tRNAs corresponding amino acid is attached (by aminoacyl-tRNA synthetases). tRNAs cope with the degeneracy of the genetic code in two manners: having more than one tRNA (with a specific anti-codon) for a particular amino acid; and 'wobble' base-pairing, i.e. permitting non-standard base-pairing at the 3rd anti-codon position. The record is from Rfam by way of RNAcentral. Lineage: Bacteria; Pseudomonadati; Bacteroidota; Chitinophagia; Chitinophagales; Chitinophagaceae.
UAGGCCGUAGCUUAGGGGAAGAGCACCUACUGCAAAUGGGGGGCGUGAGUUCGAGUCUCACCGGCCGUA